AGUGGGUACUGCAUAGUAAAUCUGUAUCAAGUAGAGUGACCAUGCUUGAAGCAGACUAGUGUGGGAAGUCACAAAGACACCCAUGACAGCUCUGACAGAAUUAUAAGCUUCUGUGGAUGUAAGUGCAGAAACUCGGAAUGGUGCAACAUGUUCCUGCUGUAUUCACAGCUUCACGGUGGAGUGGAAUAGAAAAGGAU
Thalassophryne amazonica is the source of this 197-nucleotide long non-coding RNA. RefSeq lists it as uncharacterized. NCBI's taxonomy places the organism in Eukaryota, Metazoa, Chordata, Actinopteri, Batrachoidiformes, Batrachoididae. The record is from RefSeq and is a predicted model, not a curated record. The transcript has 2 exons.